AGUGAACGCUGGCGGUAGGCCUAACACAUGCGAGUCGAACGGCAGCACAGUAAGAGCUUGCUCUUACGGGUGGCGAGUGGCGGACGGGUGAGGAAUACAUCGGAAUCUACUUUUUCGUGGGGGAUAACGUAGGGAAACUUACGCUAAUACCGCAUACGACCUACGGGUGAAAGCAGGGGAUCUUCGGACCUUGCGCGAUUGAAUGAGCCGAUGUCGGAUUAGCUAGUUGGCGGGGUAAAGGCCCACCAAGGCGACGAUCCGUAGCUGGUCUGAGAGGAUGAUCAGCCACACUGGAACUGAGACACGGUCCAGACUCCGACGGGAGGCAGCAGUGGGGAAUAUUGGACAAUGGGCGCAAGCCUGAUCCAGCCAUACCGCGUGGGUGAAGAAGGCCUUCGGGUUGGAAAGCCCUUUUGUUGGGAAAGAAAAGCAGCAGGUUAAUACCCCGCUGUUCUGACGGUACCCAAAGAAUAAGCACCGGCUAACUUCG
RNAcentral lists this ribosomal RNA (490 nucleotides) under uncultured bacterium. Its description in RNAcentral is "partial 16S ribosomal RNA". It matches the Rfam family "Bacterial small subunit ribosomal RNA", at positions 29 to 505 of the family's 1533-position model. The record is from RNAcentral.